This 464-nucleotide ribosomal RNA is filed under the name uncultured Geobacteraceae bacterium. RNAcentral describes it as "partial 16S ribosomal RNA". It matches the Rfam family "Bacterial small subunit ribosomal RNA", at positions 338 to 794 of the family's 1533-position model. Lineage: Bacteria; Pseudomonadati; Thermodesulfobacteriota; Desulfuromonadia; Geobacterales; Geobacteraceae. The record is from RNAcentral.
CCUACGGGAGGCAGCAGUGGGGAAUUUUGCGCAAUGGGGGCAACCCUGACGCAGCAACGCCGCGUGAGUGAUGAAGGCCUUCGGGUCGUAAAGCUCUGUCAGAGGGGAAGAAAUGCAGGUGGUGAACAACCAUUCUGUUUGACGGUACCCUCAAAGGAAGCACCGGCUAACUCCGUGCCAGCAGCCGCGGUAAUACGGAGGGUGCGAGCGUUGUUCGGAAUUAUUGGGCGUAAAGCGCGUGUAGGCGGUUUGUUAAGUCGGAGGUGAAAGCCCCGGGCCCAACCUGGGAAGUGCAUUGGAUACUGGCAGACUUGAGUACGGGAGAGGAGAGUGGAAUUCCCAGUGUAGGAGUGAAAUCCGUAGAUAUGGGGAGGAACACCGGUGGCGAAGGCGGCUCUUUGGACCGAUACUGACGCUGAGACGCGAAAGCGGGGGAAGCAAACAGGAUUAGAUCCCUAAGUAGU